Molecule: ribosomal RNA, 1249 nt
Filed under: Salmonella enterica subsp. enterica serovar Brancaster
Lineage: Bacteria; Pseudomonadati; Pseudomonadota; Gammaproteobacteria; Enterobacterales; Enterobacteriaceae
Description: partial 23S ribosomal RNA
Rfam family: Bacterial large subunit ribosomal RNA
Source: RNAcentral
GGUUAAGCGACUAAGCGUACACGGUGGAUGCCCUGGCAGUCAGAGGCGAUGAAGGGCGUGCUAAUCUGCGAUAAGCGCCGGUAAGGUGAUAUGAACCGUUAUAACCGGCGAUACCCGAAUGGGGAAACCCAGUGUGACUCGUCACACUAUCAUUAACUGAAUCCAUAGGUUAAUGAGGCGAACCGGGGGAACUGAAACAUCUAAGUACCCCGAGGAAAAGAAAUCAACCGAGAUUCCCCCAGUAGCGGCGAGCGAACGGGGAGGAGCCCAGAGCCUGAAUCAGCAUGUGUGUUAGUGGAAGCGUCUGGAAAGGCGCGCGAUACAGGGUGACAGCCCCGUACACAAAAGCGCAUGUGCUGUGAGCUCGAUGAGUAGGGCGGGACACGUGGUAUCCUGUCUGAAUAUGGGGGGACCAUCCUCCAAGGCUAAAUACUCCUGACUGACCGAUAGUGAACCAGUACCGUGAGGGAAAGGCGAAAAGAACCCCGGCGAGGGGAGUGAAAAAGAACCUGAAACCGUGUACGUACAAGCAGUGGGAGCCCCACCACUAAGCCAGUGGUGAACUCCACAUACGCAUCCUUUGCUGAGGAUACGGUUAACGGAGCGAAAGCGACGUUCAACCUCAAAAGAAGCAGAGGGGGCUUAGUGGUGGGGUGACUGCGUACCUUUUGUAUAAUGGGUCAGCGACUUAUAUUCUGUAGCAAGGUUAACCGAAUAGGGGAGCCGUAGGGAAACCGAGUCUUAAUUGGGCGUUAAGUUGCAGGGUAUAGACCCGAAACCCGGUGAUCUAGCCAUGGGCAGGUUGAAGGUUGGGUAACACUAACUGGAGGACCGAACCGACUAAUGUUGAAAAAUUAGCGGAUGACCUGUGGCUGGGGGUGAAAGGCCAAUCAAACCGGGAGAUAGCUGGUUCUCCCCGAAAGCUAUUUAGGUAGCGCCUCGUGAAUUCAUCUCCGGGGGUAGAGCACUGUUUCGGCUAGGGGGCCAUCCCGGCUUACCAACCCGAUGCAAACUGCGAAUACCGGAGAAUGUUAUCACGGGAGACACACGGCGGGUGCUAACGUCCGUCGUGAAGAGGGAAACAACCCAGACCGCCAGCUAAGGUCCCAAAGUCAUGGUUAAGUGGGAAACGAUGUGGGAAGGCCCAGACAGCCAGGAUGUUGGCUUAGAAGCAGCCAUCAUUUAAAGAAAGCGUAAUAGCUCACUGGUCGAGUCGGCCUGCGCGGAAGAUGUAACGGGGCUAAACCAU